This 645-nucleotide long non-coding RNA is filed under the name Phoenix dactylifera (date palm). Its description in RNAcentral is "long non-coding RNA (PDAC_LNC005450)". Lineage: Eukaryota; Viridiplantae; Streptophyta; Magnoliopsida; Arecales; Arecaceae. The record is from RNAcentral.
UCAAGACAAAUUUUUCAUUCCAAAUUACUCUACCUCCAACAGUAGAUAUGGGGUGCCAUAUAUAACCUCCUAUGCAACUACCCAUGAUCCCCAUAAAUGAUCAUGUAACUACCCAUGAUCCAACAACAUCAUGGAUCACUACACUAGCUAAAUACAACCAUACAAGUCAGCAACUAAUAAAAGACGAAAAUACAUAAUAAAUAAAUGAAAAUACACAAGAAAAUAAAACUAGGGUGGCCGAAGUGCUAUGUACGCCGGCGACGCCUAUAUAUAUGCUGGAAACGAUGGUCUGUGUCCCCACCAACUCCCCUCAACGGAGAAGAGUUCGCCUCUGGCGAAAUGGAUGUCUGGUAAUGCUCCAACAGGUCUGAAGCAAGUCGCUGAAGCUCAUCUCUACUAAUCCAGGUAUCUUCUCACGGAGGUCGACCAUGCCAUCUGACCAGGUAUCGCUGAUAACCACCGUUCUGCGUACUAACAAUCUGAUCAUCCAAAAUCUGUUCCACUGUAUCUGUGAUCUGCGGAGAAAAAGGUACAGGAGGCAAGGCAGGAGCAGGAGAUAUGUUCUCAAAAUUGGAUGUGAGGUCAGUGUCAGGCUCAUUGAGUGGGUCUGCAGGAAUAGUUGUCGGACCUCGGUAGGCAACUAAG